GCGGGUGUAACUCAGUUGGUAGAGUGCUAGACUUCCAAUCUAGAUGCCGCAGGUUCAAACCCUGUCACCCGCACCA
RNAcentral lists this transfer RNA (76 nucleotides) under bacterium. Its description in RNAcentral is "tRNA-Gly". It matches the Rfam family "tRNA". From Rfam's summary of the family: Transfer RNA (tRNA) molecules are approximately 80 nucleotides in length. Their secondary structure includes four short double-helical elements and three loops (D, anti-codon, and T loops). The record is from RNAcentral.